Long non-coding RNA from Thunnus maccoyii (southern bluefin tuna), 972 nucleotides. RefSeq lists it as uncharacterized. The record is from RefSeq and is a predicted model, not a curated record. Lineage: Eukaryota; Metazoa; Chordata; Actinopteri; Scombriformes; Scombridae. The transcript is spliced from 3 exons.
UUUUUUACACGUGCAUAGUGAUGUUAGGUUGCAGGCUGUGACAAAGCAUGGAGGAAAUUCCAUUUUCCCUGUGGGAGCCCACGGGUGCCCGCUCACAGAAGCGAGCUGCUGCAGUUUGCAAGAAGAAACGUUCCCAAGAUUUUUAUCGCUGAAAUGAUCCAGUCGAUGCAGUCCUGGUUAACAGAUGACUCCAGGCUAUCUGAUACGUCUCUGCAGCCAAACAGCAUCGUUGCAGGCCACUCGGCUGAAAAGAUAAGAUCUCAGCUUGAGCUCUACAGUGGCUACUAUAACAUCUGAGAUUUACAAAGGAGCACGAUGACGCUGAAUACAGCUGGACCAGCGCUGAGUAUACUGUCCUUAUUCUUAAAUGUCCAAUGGAGUUGGAGUAUCAAGAAACCAUUAAUUUGUUUUAGAGAUGUGUUUAGGGAUUCACUCUGUAUUUUAACAAUGUUUUGACUGCUAGUAAUACUCCAACUUCUUGAGCUUGUUGCUAUUUCUUACCUUUGUUUAUGACCUCGUAUGUUUGUUCCCAUAGUUGUUCAAAAAAUAUUAUUAUUUUAUUUUAUUUACUCAUUUAUUUUUUCUUCUCCCAUGAUAGUGGGAUGUAAUGGCUCUGGUCAAUCCACAGUCAGAGCAUGUCUCCAACGAUGUUUCAGCAUGUGCAGAGUGUGUGUGUGUGUGACAACAAUGCAACAGUUGGUUUAUAUUCAAUUUACUGCCUUCCUGCUAUACAUUAAGCUUAUUACAUGUUAAUGCUAUGACACGACUGUCAUGUGUGUAUUCUGUCUUUUAUUAUAGAAGCCAAAUAUAUGUCACACCAUUGUGCAUUUGUGCUGUAUAUGGACAGAAAUCAUUACGGUUGAUUGUAAUGCAUUCUGAUUUCAUAGUGAUGUCCCUCAAGUGUAUAUGAAAACAAUCUGUAAGCAUCCCAAAAUGUUAAAUGUACCCUACAUUGUUGUUUCUAAUUAAAGG